GGUUAAGCGAACAAGCGUACACGGUGGAUGCCCUGGCAGUCAGAGGCGAUGAAGGACGUGCUAAUCUGCGAAAAGCGCCGGUAAGGUGAUAUGAACCGUUAUAACCGGCGAUGUCCGAAUGGGGAAACCCGGUGCACUUCGGUGCAUCAUCGUUAGCUGAAUACAUAGGCUAACGAGGCGAACCGGGGGAACUGAAACAUCUAAGUACCCCGAGGAAAAGAAAUCAACCGAGAUUCCCCCAGUAGCGGCGAGCGAACGGGGAACAGCCCAGAGCCUGAAUCAGCUUGUGUGUCAGUGGAACGGUCUGGAAAGGCCGGCGAUACAGGGUGACAGCCCCGUACACGAAGGCACACAGGCUGUGAGCUCGAUGAGUAGGGCGGGACACGUGAUAUCCUGUCUGAAGAUGGGGGGACCAUCCUCCAAGGCUAAAUACUCCUGACUGACCGAUAGUGAACCAGUACCGUGAGGGAAAGGCGAAAAGAACCCCGGCGAGGGGAGUGAAACAGAACCUGAAACCGUGUACGUACAAGCAGUGGGAGCCUUCGUAAGAGGGUGACUGCGUACCUUUUGUAUAAUGGGUCAGCGACUUAUAUUCUGUAGCAAGGUUAACCGUAUAGGGGAGCCGAAGGGAAACCGAGUCUUAACCGGGCGUUAAGUUGCAGGGUAUAGACCCGAAACCCGGUGAUCUAGCCAUGGGCAGGUUGAAGGUUGGGUAACACUAACUGGAGGACCGAACCGACUAAUGUUGAAAAAUUAGCGGAUGACCUGUGGCUGGGGGUGAAAGGCCAAUCAAACCGGGAGAUAGCUGGUUCUCCCCGAAAGCUAUUUAGGUAGCGCCUCGUGAACUCAUCUCCGGGGGUAGAGCACUGUUUCGGCUAGGGGGCCAUCCCGGCUUACCAACCCGAUGCAAACUGCGAAUACCGGAGAAUGUUAUCACGGGAGACACACGGCGGGUGCUAACGUCCGUCGUGAAGAGGGAAACAACCCAGACCGCCAGCUAAGGUCCCAAAGUCAUGGUUAAGUGGGAAACGAUGUGGGAAGGCCCAGACAGCCAGGAUGUUGGCUUAGAAGCAGCCAUCAUUUAAAGAAAGCGUAAUAGCUCACUGGUCGAGUCGGCCUGCGCGGAAGAUGUAACGGGGCUAAACCAUGCACCGAAGCUGCGGCAGCGACACUGUGUGUUGUUGGGUAGGGGAGCGUUCUGUAAGCCUGCGAAGGUGUGCUGUGAGGCAUGCUGGAGGUAUCAGAAGUGCGAAUGCUGACAUAAGUAACGAUAAAGCGGGUGAAAAGCCCGCUCGCCGGAAGACCAAGGGUUCCUGUCCAACGUUAAUCGGGGCAGGGUGAGUCGACCCCUAAGGCGAGGCCGAAAGGCGUAGUCGAUGGGAAACAGGUUAAUAUUCCUGUACUUGGUGUUACUGCGAAGGGGGGACGGAGAAGGCUAUGUCGGCCGGGCGACGGUUGUCCCGGUUUAAGCGUGUAGGCUGACUUUCCAGGCAAAUCCGGAAAGUUAAGGCUGAGGCGUGAUGACGAGGCACCACGGUGCUGAAGUGACAAAUGCCCUGCUUCCAGGAAAAGCCUCUAAGCAUCAGGUAACAUCAAAUCGUACCCCAAACCGACACAGGUGGUCAGGUAGAGAAUACCAAGGCGCUUGAGAGAACUCGGGUGAAGGAACUAGGCAAAAUGGUGCCGUAACUUCGGGAGAAGGCACGCUGACAUGUAGGUGAAGCCCCUGCGGGUGGAGCUGAAGUCAGUCGAAGAUACCAGCUGGCUGCAACUGUUUAUUAAAAACACAGCACUGUGCAAACACGAAAGUGGACGUAUACGGUGUGACGCCUGCCCGGUGCCGGAAGGUUAAUUGAUGGGGUUAUCGCAAGAGAAGCUCCUGAUCGAAGCCCCGGUAAACGGCGGCCGUAACUAUAACGGUCCUAAGGUAGCGAAAUUCCUUGUCGGGUAAGUUCCGACCUGCACGAAUGGCGUAAUGAUGGCCAGGCUGUCUCCACCCGAGACUCAGUGAAAUUGAACUCGCUGUGAAGAUGCAGUGUACCCGCGGCAAGACGGAAAGACCCCGUGAACCUUUACUACAGCUUGACACUGAACAUUGAGCCUUGAUGUGUAGGAUAGGUGGGAGGCUUUGAAGCGUGGACGCCAGUCUGCGUGGAGCCGACCUUGAAAUACCACCCUUUAAUGUUUGAUGUUCUAACCUGGCGCCGUGAUCCGGCGUGGGGACAGUGUCUGGUGGGUAGUUUGACUGGGGCGGUCUCCUCCCAAAGUGUAACGGAGGAGCACGAAGGUCAGCUAAUCCUGGUCGGACAUCAGGAGGUUAGUGCAAUGGCAUAAGCUGGCUUGACUGCGAGAGUGACGGCUCGAGCAGGUGCGAAAGCAGGUCAUAGUGAUCCGGUGGUUCUGUAUGGAAGGGCCAUCGCUCAACGGAUAAAAGGUACUCCGGGGAUAACAGGCUGAUACCGCCCAAGAGUUCAUAUCGACGGCGGUGUUUGGCACCUCGAUGUCGGCUCAUCACAUCCUGGGGCUGAAGUAGGUCCCAAGGGUAUGGCUGUUCGCCAUUUAAAGUGGUACGCGAGCUGGGUUUAGAACGUCGUGAGACAGUUCGGUCCCUAUCUGCCGUGGGCGCUGGAGAAUUGAGGGGGGCUGCUCCCAGUACGAGAGGACCGGAGUGGACGCAUCACUGGUGUUCGGGUUGUCAUGCCAAUGGCACUGCCCGGUAGCUAAAUGCGGAAGAGAUAAGUGCUGAAAGCAUCUAAGCACGAAACUUGCCCCGAGAUGAGUUCUCCCUGAGACUAUAAGUCUCCUGAAGGAACGUUGAAGACGACGACGUUGAUAGGCCGGGUGUGUAAGCGCAGCGAUGCGUUGAGCUAACCGGUACUAAUGAACCGUGAGGCUUAACCUU
This is a ribosomal RNA of Cronobacter sakazakii ATCC BAA-894, 2902 nucleotides long. It matches the Rfam family "Bacterial large subunit ribosomal RNA". The record is from Rfam. NCBI's taxonomy places the organism in Bacteria, Pseudomonadati, Pseudomonadota, Gammaproteobacteria, Enterobacterales, Enterobacteriaceae.